GACGAACGCUGGCGGCGUGCCUAAUACAUGCCAGUCGAACGAGAGCGCCCGGUGCUUGCACUGGUCAAUCUAGUGGCGAACGGGUGAGUAACACGUGGGUAACCUGCCCAUCAGAGGGGGAUAACAUUCGGAAACGGAUGCUAAAACCGCAUAGGUCUUCGAACCGCAUGGUUUGAAGAGGAAAAGAGGCGCAAGCUUCUGCUGAUGGAUGGACCCGCGGUGCAUUAGCUAGUUGGUGAGGUAACGGCUCACCAAGGCCGUGAUGCAUAGCCGACCUGAGAGGGUGAUAGGCCACAUUGGGACUGAGACACGGCCCAAACGCCUAAGGGAGGCAGCAGUAGGGAAUCUUACGCAAUGGACGCAAGUCUGACGGAGCAACGCCGCGUGAGUGAAGAAGGUUUUCGGAUCGUAAAACUCUGUUGUUAGAGAAGAAUAAGUGCUAGAGUAACUGUUAGCGCCUUGACGGUAUCUAACCAGAAAGCCACGGCUAACUACGUG
Molecule: ribosomal RNA, 498 nt
Filed under: uncultured bacterium
Lineage: Bacteria
Description: partial 16S ribosomal RNA
Rfam family: Bacterial small subunit ribosomal RNA
Source: RNAcentral